RNAcentral lists this unclassified non-coding RNA (244 nucleotides) under Hevea brasiliensis (rubber tree). The record is from RNAcentral. Lineage: Eukaryota; Viridiplantae; Streptophyta; Magnoliopsida; Malpighiales; Euphorbiaceae.
AUUUUUGGUGGUACUCUUAACCCGGUGAGUUGUCUUGAUUAAUUCGGCUUCUGGGCUGUACGCAUUCUCCAAAUUCUCUGUAUCCUCGCCUUUUCAAUUAGUAUGUCAUCAAGUUUGGAGGAAUUUAAAUUUAUAUAUUGUUUUUUGGAGUUUGGACAUUCAAUCUUGGCUAUACAAUGAUGUCUGUGUUGGUGUUUCCAACAAGAUGUUUGCGUGAUACUUUACAUAAAAGUUUGAGUUUUGU